This is a long non-coding RNA of Schistocerca piceifrons (Central American locust), 930 nucleotides long. RefSeq lists it as uncharacterized. The record is from RefSeq and is a predicted model, not a curated record. Lineage: Eukaryota; Metazoa; Arthropoda; Insecta; Orthoptera; Acrididae. The transcript has 6 exons.
AGUCGGGGAGGAAACGUGCGGAUGUAGUAGGUCCCGCAAAUAUUAGGUGUGGUUUUGAACACUCAUCCGUAGGCACUUGAGACUUUGCAGAACGAUAGUCACCACCUGAACUGAUCGGUAGCAUCAGAGAUCUUCCCAUUCUUAUCUGGCGUUGUCUGCCAGGAAGAAGACUUGACGUGUAUGAAUUCCUACUGAUCCGGCAUAGUCGCUUCCCAUCUGUGCAGGAAGACAUCAAGAUCACUAUCGCCUGGCGCAAUGGUGCGUUGGCUUGAAGACAUGGCGCGAGCGCUCUAGCCAAUCACAGCGCUCGUGAAUGGGGAGCCUGGAUGAAAGCGGGAGGUGAUUUAGUACAGCGCAGGACACGGAGAGGGCGGCAAAGACUUGGACAGUGGAGCAAUUUGCACGUGGUCGCAAAUAUUUCAGAGUGCCGACGUGUGCUCUUGUGUGAUUUCCGUGGCUUCUGCAGUGAAGACGUAGUGCGCAUUUAGAAGUGUAUAUCUCGUCAGGCGUUGUCUGCCAGGAAGGACGAUGCAUAGGAACUCAUAUUGGUUCGACAAUGUCGCGUCCAUCUACGCAGGAAGCCAUCAGGGUCACUUACGUCUGACGAAUGGAUUUAUCUGCCAGGAAGGAGACUUGACGUCUAUGAAUUGACAGGGGUUCGCCAUGGGCACUUCCAAACUGUACAGGAAGACAUCAGGGUGACUGGUGCAAAGGAGCCAGAUAGCCUGGCGUCGCCAUUAUCACCAAGGUGGUACCAUCAUUACAUAUGUCGGACGUCGUAUGCUGGGCAGACUGGUAAACCAGGACAAGUGGCAAACUGUGGCAGAACUGACAUCAGACUUUAAUGGUGGUCAGAGUACACCUGUGUCUGAACACACAGUGCACUGAAAACUUCUGACGACCCAUGCAUGUGCCUGCCAGAAGAACAUA